RNAcentral lists this ribosomal RNA (1851 nucleotides) under Triticum aestivum (bread wheat). RNAcentral describes it as "partial small subunit ribosomal RNA". The record is from RNAcentral. Lineage: Eukaryota; Viridiplantae; Streptophyta; Magnoliopsida; Poales; Poaceae.
AUGGCCGCCAAGAGGAAGCUCGGCAGGCCGCCGCCGCCGGCGGCUGCGGCUCCAGCGGCGCCGAAGGCUAAGGCCAAGGCGAAGGCCAAGGAAGACGACGCGGAGGGGCUCUUCUCCUCGCGCUCCUUCGCCGACCUCGGCCUCCACCCCACCCUCUGCGCCCACCUCCAAGAUAAGAUGGGUUUCCAGGGGCCGACGCGGAUCCAGGCCCAGGCGAUCCCCGUCGCCAUGUCAGGGCAGCACCUGCUCGUGAAGGCAGCGACCGGCACCGGGAAGACGCUCGCGUACCUCGCGCCGAUCGUCCACCUCCUCCAGAUGAGGGAGCCUCGUGUCGAGAGAACUCACGGAACUUUUGCGUUGGUAAUUGUUCCAACGCGAGAGCUGUGCUUGCAGGUUUAUGGGAUUGCGCAGCAGUUGGUGCAUCGCUUUCACUGGCUUGUCCCUGGGUAUGUAAUGGGUGGUGAGAGCAGAUCAAAAGAGAAAGCAAGACUGCGGAAAGGAAUAUCAAUCCUAAUUGCCACUCCUGGGCGCCUUCUGGACCACUUACAGCAUACUUCAUCAUUUGUUUAUUCAAAUUUGCGCUGGAUAGUUUUCGAUGAAGCUGACAGCAUUCUUGAGCUUGGUUUUGGAAAAGCAGUCGAGGAUAUACUAGGGCUCUUGGGUUCCAGGAAUGAUGCUUCCGAUGAGAAUAAAAGCAAAACUGACCCUAUGCAAAGGCAAAACCUUCUCUUAUCAGCAACUCUCAACGAAAAGGUGAACCGCUUAGCCAACAUUAGUUUGAAGAACCCAGUGAUGAUUGGACUUGACGAACAAAACAAGCCUUCUGAGAGGUCCAGUGCCCUAGGGAAGAAGCACACUUCCUUAUUAUCUGAUGAUGAGGACGAAAUGCCUAAAAAGCACAAUAAUGUAGUGGAACCUGCGGUUGAUGAUUUUAAGCUUCCUGCACAGUUGGUUCAAAGAUAUGUUAAAGUUUCAUGUGGUUCGAGGCUUGCGGUUCUCCUUACCAUUCUGAAAUCUCAAUUUGAAAGACAAGUGUCCCAGAAGGUUGUUGUUUUCAUGUCAACAUGUGACGCUGUAGAUUUCCACCACACUGUACUCAGCCAGCUUGAGUGGAGCCGUGGCCUCGCAUUAGACACAGAUAAGAAGCAAAAAUUUCUUGGCUGCAAGGUGUUCCGUCUACAUGGUAACAUGGACCAGGAAGACCGCAAAAAGUCAUACCUGGGAUUCAGUUCUGAAAAAUCUGCAAUCCUUGUAUGUACUGAUGUUGCUGCCAGAGGCUUGGACAUUCCGAAAGUUAGGUGCAUCAUACAGUAUGAUUCACCUGGGGAGGCUUCUGAAUAUGUUCACAGGGUUGGAAGAACUGCAAGGAUUGGUGAAAAGGGAGAGGCCCUCCUGUUUCUCCAACCUGUCGAACUUGACUACUUGAAAGACCUAGAGCUACAUGGUGUAUCUCUGACAGAAUACCCCUUCCAAAAGGUUUUAGACGGUUUCCCCGUGAAUGGGGAGAAGCCUCUCAAGAGGAAGCCAAUAUCUUUAGAUAUGCACCCAUGGAUACUCUCUGUACAGAGAACGCUGGAAAAUUACGUCGCAUCCGAGGCCACAACAAAUAAGCUUGCCAGAGAUGCCUUCUGUUCCUGGCUUCGCGCUUACACCGCCCACCGCGGUGAGCUGAAGAAGAUUUUCAUGGUGAAGAAGCUCCACCUGGGACAUGUCGCGAGAAGCUUCGGGUUGAAGGAGCAACCCUCGCUGGUCGGGAGGUCGCACCAGGUGCAACUCAAGAAGAGGAAGAAAGAACAGAAACGCGAAGGACAAGGACCGACCAAACGGAGAAAAUUCCCCACCAAGAAGUGA